Molecule: small nucleolar RNA, 136 nt
Organism: Apodemus sylvaticus (European woodmouse)
Lineage: Eukaryota; Metazoa; Chordata; Mammalia; Rodentia; Muridae
Product: small nucleolar RNA SNORA17
Exons: 1
Source: RefSeq, a predicted model, not a curated record
GUGGCUCCUAGAAGUGCUGCAGGUGUGGCUGCUGUGUCCUAUGUGAGCCAGUAGGUGGCAGAGAGGAGAGAGGCUACGUCCGCCUCUGCUAGGUGUUCAGACCCAUGGACAUCUGAAUGAUUAGUAGUCUAACACU